Molecule: ribosomal RNA, 466 nt
Filed under: Vreelandella stevensii
Lineage: Bacteria; Pseudomonadati; Pseudomonadota; Gammaproteobacteria; Oceanospirillales; Halomonadaceae
Description: partial 16S ribosomal RNA
Rfam family: Bacterial small subunit ribosomal RNA
Source: RNAcentral
CCUACGGGUGGCAGCAGUGGGGAAUAUUGGACAAUGGGCGAAAGCCUGAUCCAGCCAUGCCGCGUGUGUGAAGAAGGCCUUCGGGUUGUAAAGCACUUUCAGUGGGGAAGAAAGCCUUGGGGCUAAUACCCUCGAGGAAGGACAUCACCCACAGAAGAAGCACCGGCUAACUCCGUGCCAGCAGCCGCGGUAAUACGGAGGGUGCGAGCGUUAAUCGGAAUUACUGGGCGUAAAGCGCGCGUAGGCGGUCUGAUAAGCCGGUUUGUGAAAGCCCCGGGCUCAACCUGGGAACGGCAUCCGGAACUGUCAGGCUAGAGUGCAGGAGAGGAAGGUAGAAUUCCCGGUGUAGCAGUGAAAUGCGUAGAGAUCGGGAGGAAUACCAGUGGCGAAGGCGGCCUUCUGGACUGACACUGACGCUGAGGUGCGAAAGCGUGGGUAGCAAACAGGAUUAGAUACCCGAGUAGUC